UGUCACGGUCGCGACUGGCGAACGGGUGGGGCACCACCGGGGAGCGACGCACAGCAGACUUCGGGUCGUACGCCUGGGCCCUUCGG
Molecule: non-coding RNA, 86 nt
Filed under: Actinotalea bogoriensis
Lineage: Bacteria; Bacillati; Actinomycetota; Actinomycetes; Micrococcales; Cellulomonadaceae
Also listed under: 1 other name
Description: Cellulomonas bogoriensis ZTP sequence
Rfam family: ZMP/ZTP riboswitch aptamer (pfl RNA motif)
About the family: Previously known as pfl RNA. ZMP is also known as AICAR.
Source: RNAcentral